CCUACGGGAGGCAGCAGUGGGGGAUAUUGCACAAUGGGGGAAACCCUGAUGCAGCGACGCCGCGUGGGCGAAGAAGUAUUUCGGUAUGUAAAGCCCUAUCAGCAGGGAAGAAGAAAUGACGGUACAUGAGUAAGAAGCACAGGCUAAAUACGUGCCAGCAGCCGCGGUAAUACGCAUGGGGCAAGCGUUAUCCGGAUUUACUGGGUGAAAAGGGAGCGCAGGCGGCACGGCAAGCCUGAUGUGAAAGCCCGCGGCCCAACCGCGGGACUGCAUUGGGAACUACCGGGCUGGAGUGCCGGAGAGGUCGGCGUCCUUCCUAGUGUAGCGGUGAGCUGCGUCGAUCUUAGGAGGAACACCAGUGGCGACGGCGGCCUACUGUACGGUGCCUGACGCUGCGGCUC
This 401-nucleotide ribosomal RNA is filed under the name uncultured bacterium. RNAcentral describes it as "partial 16S ribosomal RNA". It matches the Rfam family "Bacterial small subunit ribosomal RNA", at positions 338 to 754 of the family's 1533-position model. The record is from RNAcentral.